AUGACCUUUUACGCUAAUAUGGCGAGCUAGUGUGCAAACGGCUGCUUUGUAUGCAUCCAGAAGUUAAGCAACAGCAUUAGCAUUCACUUGGAGUCAUGUUUCUGGUCACCUGAUAAAUGUUUGGGACAAUUGCAGCUGUGUUUGCAGCAACAGAGGCUACAUGGAAGCAGCAGGAAUAAGGAGUUGGACUUCAGUUUGUAAUUACCCUGUCCUGGUGAUUGGCACAUCUGGGUGAUGGCAUUGAACAUUUCCAUUCAGAUCCCCUGCAACGCUGGAGCAACUGUCCUCAUCUUAUAUACAACUGUCUCUCCAUUGCUGCUGCCGUUGACUUGGAACCUUCAGGAAGACCGUACAGAGCCUUGGUACAGAAGGACACAAUGAGGUGGCAGCUCCGCUUGGUUGGCCAGGCAUAGCCGGAACAGGAAGAGAGAUUACCUCCCGGAGGGUCUCUGUCGGUGUGUGUACGUGUGUGUGUGAAUGUGUGCGCGUGUGUCUGUGUGACAUCCUUUUCCAAUUAGGAACACAUUCACCCCUUUGCCAGCAGGGUCAUUGGUGCAUUAUCUUCCUUUUGGAAAACACAUCACUAUCUCUGCAUAGUUUCUCUGAGUUGCAAGUUGUAUUUCAAAUACUUAUUAGCAUACAAUCACACCUACCCUGUUUUGUUCGAUUCAGUCGAACUCAAGUUCGUUUGCCCCCUAAGUGCGGUUCGUUUGGGCAGGUGUGAACAUAGUAAUCACACUCAGGUGCGCACCAAAACAAUCAGACCGUGACCGUCUUGAAGAGGUGGUCUCAGUCUGGUUACAAACAAACUCUGGUGUGGUUCAUUUGUGGUGAGAACGUGUUCCGACUUCAAUCUGAACCAACUGCAGUCACAUGACCCAUUGUUUGGGUUAAACAUGAGCAUGUUACAGUCCUGGAGGAUUAUUAAUGUGCACCUCCUCCUGUACUGCCUUAAUAUGCACAUUCAGCACAUCCAGUGCAUCAAAACAUUGUUUUCUAG
This is a long non-coding RNA of Epinephelus fuscoguttatus (brown-marbled grouper), 1000 nucleotides long. RefSeq lists it as uncharacterized. The transcript is spliced from 4 exons. NCBI's taxonomy places the organism in Eukaryota, Metazoa, Chordata, Actinopteri, Perciformes, Serranidae. The record is from RefSeq and is a predicted model, not a curated record.